RNAcentral lists this ribosomal RNA (422 nucleotides) under uncultured bacterium. RNAcentral describes it as "bacterial SSU rRNA". It matches the Rfam family "Bacterial small subunit ribosomal RNA", at positions 355 to 774 of the family's 1533-position model. The record is from RNAcentral.
UAAGGAAUAUUGGACAAUGGAGGCAACUCUGAUCCAGCCAUGCCGCGUGAAGGAAUAAGGCCCUAUGGGUUGUAAACUUCUUUUAGACGGGACAAAACCCCUUUACGUGUAAAGGGUUGAUGGUACUGUCAGAAUAAGCAUCGGCUAACUUCGUGCCAGCAGCCGCGGUAAUACGAAGGAUGCAAGCGUUAUCCGGAAUAAUUGGGUUUAAAGGGUGCGUAGGCGGACUAAUAAGUCAGUGGUGAAAGCCUGCAGCUUAACUGCAGAAUUGCCAUUGAUACUGUUAGUCUUGAGUACAGUUGAGGUAGGCGGAAUGUGUCAUGUAGCGGUGAAAUGCUUAGAUAUGACACAGAACACCGAUUGCGAAGGCAGCUUGCUAAGCUGUAACUGACGCUGAGGCACGAAAGCGUGGGGAGCAAACA